UACGUAGGGUGCGAGCGUUAAUCGGAAUUACUGGGCGUAAAGCGUGCGCAGGCGGUUCGUUGUGUCGGCGGUGAAAGCCCCGGGCUCAACCUGGGAAUGGCCGUUGAAACUGGCGAACUGGAGUGUGGCAGAGGGGGGUGGAAUUCCGCGUGUAGCAGUGAAAUGCGUAGAGAUGCGGAGGAACACCGAUGGCGAAGGCAGCCCCCUGGGCUGACACUGACGCCUCAGGCACGAAAGCGUGGGGAGCAAACAGG
RNAcentral lists this ribosomal RNA (254 nucleotides) under uncultured bacterium. RNAcentral's name for it is "partial 16S ribosomal RNA". It matches the Rfam family "Bacterial small subunit ribosomal RNA", at positions 524 to 776 of the family's 1533-position model. The record is from RNAcentral.